This 324-nucleotide ribosomal RNA is filed under the name uncultured eukaryote. Its description in RNAcentral is "partial 18S ribosomal RNA". It matches the Rfam family "Eukaryotic small subunit ribosomal RNA", at positions 1470 to 1796 of the family's 1831-position model. The record is from RNAcentral.
CCCUUAGAUGUUCUGGGCCGCACGCGUGCUACACUGAGUGGAUCAGCGGGUCAGGUUGCGCGAAAGCGUUUCCUAAUCUUUAAAUCCGCUCGUGAUGGGGAUUGACGGUUGCAAUUUUCUGUCAUGAACGAGGAAUUCCUAGUACGCGCAAGUCAUCAGCUUGCAUGGAUUACGUCCCUGCCCUUUGUACACACCGCCCGUCGCACCUACCGAUUGAGUGGUCCGGUGAAGACCUCGGACUGUGGCUGCGGUUGCUUGAUUGCGACUGUGUGCUGUGGGAAGUUGUCUAAAUCUUAUCACUUAGAGGAAGGUGAAGUCGUAACA